RNAcentral lists this ribosomal RNA (440 nucleotides) under uncultured bacterium. Its description in RNAcentral is "partial 16S ribosomal RNA". It matches the Rfam family "Bacterial small subunit ribosomal RNA", at positions 338 to 795 of the family's 1533-position model. The record is from RNAcentral.
CCUCCGGGGGGCAGCAGUGGGGAAUAUUGCACAAUGGGGGGAACCCUGAUGCAGCGACGCCGCGUGAAGGAAGAAGUAUUUCGGUAUGUAAACUUCUAUCAGCAGGGAAGAAAAUGACGGUAUCUGACUAAUAAGCCCCGGCUAACUACGUGCCAGCAGCCGCGGUAAUACGUAGGGGGCAAGCGUUAUCCGGAUUUACUGGGAGUAAAGGGCGCGUAGGCGGCAGAGCAAGUCAGAAGUGAAAGCCAAAGGCUCAACCAUAGAACUGCAUUUGAAACUGUACAGCUAGAUUACAGGAGAGGUAAGUGGAAUUCCUAGUGUAGCGGUGAAAUGCGUAGAUAUUAGGAGGAACACCAGUGGCGAAGGCGGCUUACUGGACUAUAAAUGACGCUGAGGCUCGAAAGCGUGGGGAGCAAACAGGAUUAGAUACCCGAGUAGUC